RNAcentral lists this ribosomal RNA (253 nucleotides) under uncultured bacterium. RNAcentral's name for it is "partial 16S ribosomal RNA". It matches the Rfam family "Bacterial small subunit ribosomal RNA", at positions 524 to 776 of the family's 1533-position model. The record is from RNAcentral.
UACAGAGGUGGCAAGCGUUGUUCGGAAUUACUGGGCGUAAUGCGCGCGCAGGCGGUCUUUCAAGUCAGUGGUGAAAGCCUGGAGCUCAACUCCAGAACUGCCAUUGAAACUGCAAGACUUGAGUACGAGAGAGGUGAGUGGAAUUCCCAGUGUAGAGGUGAAAUUCGUAGAUAUUGGGAAGAACACCGGUGGCGAAGGCGGCUCACUGGCUCGUAACUGACGCUCAGGCGCGACAGCGUGGGGAUCAAACAGG